GGGCGUUAAGUUGCAGGGUAUAGACCCGAAACCCGGUGAUCUAGCCAUGGGCAGGUUGAAGGUUGGGUAACACUAACUGGAGGACCGAACCGACUAAUGUUGAAAAAUUAGCGGAUGACCUGUGGCUGGGGGUGAAAGGCCAAUCAAACCGGGAGAUAGCUGGUUCUCCCCGAAAGCUAUUUAGGUAGCGCCUCGUGAAUUCAUCUCCGGGGGUAGAGCACUGUUUCGGCUAGGGGGCCAUCCCGGCUUACCAACCCGAUGCAAACUGCGAAUACCGGAGAAUGUUAUCACGGGAGACACACGGCGGGUGCUAACGUCCGUCGUGAAGAGGGAAACAACCCAGACCGCCAGCUAAGGUCCCAAAGUCAUGGUUAAGUGGGAAACGAUGUGGGAAGGCCCAGACAGCCAGGAUGUUGGCUUAGAAGCAGCCAUCAUUUAAAGAAAGCGUAAUAGCUCACUGGUCGAGUCGGCCUGCGCGGAAGAUGUAACGGGGCUAAACCAUGCACCGAAGCUGCGGCAGCGAGUGAAAAGCCCGCUCGCCGGAAGACCAAGGGUUCCUGUCCAACGUUAAUCGGGGCAGGGUGAGUCGACCCCUAAGGCGAGGCCGAAAGGCGUAGUCGAUGGGAAACGGGUUAAUAUUCCCGUACUUGGUGUUACUGCGAAGGGGGGACGG
Molecule: ribosomal RNA, 673 nt
Filed under: Salmonella enterica
Lineage: Bacteria; Pseudomonadati; Pseudomonadota; Gammaproteobacteria; Enterobacterales; Enterobacteriaceae
Description: partial 23S ribosomal RNA
Rfam family: Bacterial large subunit ribosomal RNA
Source: RNAcentral